AUAUUACCUGAUGUUAGUGGUUCUUAUGGGAAGAUAAAACGGCUCUGUGAAACCGAGCUUGGAGUAAUAACUCAGUGCUGCUUACCCAAAAAUGUUCAGAAGGGUGGGAAACAAUACCUUGAAAAUCUUUCUUUGAAGAUCAAUGUGAAGGUCGGAGGUCGGAAUACAGUACUUGAAGAUGCUUUGUACAAGAGGAUACCCCUUCUGACAGAUGUGCC
Long non-coding RNA from Hordeum vulgare subsp. vulgare (domesticated barley), 218 nucleotides. RefSeq lists it as uncharacterized. The transcript is spliced from 3 exons. The record is from RefSeq and is a predicted model, not a curated record. Lineage: Eukaryota; Viridiplantae; Streptophyta; Magnoliopsida; Poales; Poaceae.